GACGAACGCUGGCGGCGUGCUUAACACAUGCAAGUCGAACGGAAAGGCCCUGCUUUUGUGGGUUUCUCGAGUGGCGAACGGGUGAGUAACACGUGAGUAACCUGCCCUUGACUUUGGGAUAACUUCAGGAAACUGGGGCUAAUACCGGAUAGGAGCUCCUGCUGCAUGGUGGGGGUUGGAAAGUUUCGGCGGUUGGGGCUGGACUCGCGGCUUAUCAGCUUGUUGGUGGGGUAGUUGCUUACCAAGGCUUUGACGGGUAGCCGGCCUGAGAGCGUGAACGGGCACAUUGGGACUGAGAUACGGCCCAGACUCCUACGGGAGGCAGCAGUGGGGAAUAUUGCACAAUGGGCGGAAGCCUGAUGCAGCAACGCCGCGUGCGGGAUGACGGCCUUCGGGUUGUAAACCGCUUUCGCCUGUGACGAAGCGUGAGUGACGGUAAUGGGUAAAGAAGCACCGGCUAACUACGUG
This 468-nucleotide ribosomal RNA is filed under the name uncultured bacterium. Its description in RNAcentral is "partial 16S ribosomal RNA". It matches the Rfam family "Bacterial small subunit ribosomal RNA", at positions 28 to 507 of the family's 1533-position model. The record is from RNAcentral.